UACAGAGGUCUCAAGCGUUGUUCGGAUUCAUUGGGCGUAAAGGGUGCGUAGGCGGCGCGGUAAGUCGGGUGUGAAAUCUCGGGGCUUAACUCCGAAACUGCAUUCGAUACUGCCGUGCUUGAGGACUGGAGAGGAGACUGGAAUUUACGGUGUAGCGGUGAAAUGCGUAGAUAUCGGGAGGAACACCAGUGGCGAAGGCGACUACCUGGCCUGUUCUUGACGCUGAGGCGCGAAAGCUGGGGGAGCAAACGGG
This 253-nucleotide ribosomal RNA is filed under the name uncultured bacterium. Its description in RNAcentral is "partial 16S ribosomal RNA". It matches the Rfam family "Bacterial small subunit ribosomal RNA", at positions 524 to 776 of the family's 1533-position model. The record is from RNAcentral.